RNAcentral lists this ribosomal RNA (519 nucleotides) under uncultured eukaryote. Its description in RNAcentral is "SSU rRNA". It matches the Rfam family "Eukaryotic small subunit ribosomal RNA", at positions 1161 to 1698 of the family's 1831-position model. The record is from RNAcentral.
AGGGCACCACCAGGAGUGGAGCCUGCGGCUUAAUUUGACUCAACACGGGAAAACUCACCCGGCCCGGACACUGGAAGGAUUGACAGAUUGAGAGCUCUUUCUUGAUUCAGUGGGUGGUGGUGCAUGGCCGUUCUUAGUUGGUGGAGUGAUUUGUCUGGUUAAUUCCGAUAACGAACGAGACUCUAGCCUACUAAAUAGAUAGUCGGCUUACAAACGUCGACUAGACUUCUUAGAGGGACAGGCGGUGAUUCAACCGCACGAAACAGAGCAAUAACAGGUCUGUGAUGCCCUUAGAUGUCCGGGGCCGCACGCGCGCUACACUGAAGUGAUCAGCGUGCUUUUUCAGCCUACUCUGUCAAGAGUGGGAAACCCAAUGAACCUUCUUCGUGAUUGGGAUAGGGGAUUGUAAUUAUUCCCCUUGAACGAGGAAUUCCCAGUAAAGCGCGAGUCAUAAGCUCGCGUUGAUUACGUCCCUGCCCUUUGUACACACCGCCCGUCGCUACUACCGACUGAAUGUUU